RNAcentral lists this long non-coding RNA (766 nucleotides) under Homo sapiens (human). RNAcentral's name for it is "HSALNT0364194". The record is from RNAcentral. Lineage: Eukaryota; Metazoa; Chordata; Mammalia; Primates; Hominidae.
ACAAUUGUUUAGAAUAUAAGGCUUGUUUAGAAUGCAAGGCUUCCUCAAUUCUCCACCCUUCCCCUCUUGACAUCUUGCUCUUCUUCCCUUCAUCUAUUGUGUUAGUCAGGUGCAUGCUGGUCUUCCCUCUAUCAAACUGUAAGCUACUUGGAGACUUGGGAUGCCUCACUCAUCUCUAUUCCCAAACCUCAGGGUCUAUCAUUCUACCUUCUGUAUAGACAGGACUUUCAUAGUUUUGAACAAGUCAGAACCUGAAAGAAUUUGCUUCCAGAACAGGACAUUGACAGGAAAAUUAAGCAUGAUCAUGCCGAGUAAAAUAGGAAUAAGAAUUGGACCUACCUCAAGAUCUGUUGAGAAGAUUAUGAGAGAGCUGAUGGAUCUAAAAGAUUGGCGCUUGCUUUAACAACAACUGGUAAGAUCACUGAGCUGUAAACAGGACUCUGCACAUCCAAGCAACAGAGACUGCUUUCCUGCUGAGUUAUCCAUUUCCACACUACAGGAGAAUUAGUUUGAAGAGACCACCUGCUGUACACACGCGAUGCUUUAAAUAGACACAUCUGAACUAGAAGCUCUUGGUGUCUUAUAAUAAAGGAAAUUUGUGCUUUAGGACAACUUCCAAUAUGGCUGGGGUAAAUGUCAAUGGUGUGUAGUCUGUUGGGGGUCACAAUAUUGUUUACCUGGAUGUGACCCUCAUUGUCACUGAGGCUUAGGAAGGGUACAUGGUAAGGAUGAAGCAGAAAUGGUUUACAUCUAUUCUUAGCAGAGC